Molecule: ribosomal RNA, 492 nt
Filed under: uncultured bacterium
Lineage: Bacteria
Description: partial 16S ribosomal RNA
Rfam family: Bacterial small subunit ribosomal RNA
Source: RNAcentral
AGUGAGCGCUGGCGGUAGGCCUAACACAUGCAAGUCGAACGGCAGCACAGUAAGAGCUUGCUCUUACGGGUGGCGAGUGGCGGACGGGUGAGGAAUACAUCGGAAUCUACUUUUUCGUGGGGGAUAACGUAGGGAAACUUACGCUAAUACCGCAUACGACCUACGGGUGAAAGCAAGAGAUCUUCGGACCUUGCGCGUUUGAAUGAGCCGAUGUCGGAUUAGCUAGUUGGCGGGGUAAAGGCCCACCAAGGCGACGAUCCGUAGCUGGUCUGAGAGGAUGAUCAGCCACACUGGAACUGAGACACGGUCCAGACUCCUACGGGAGGCAGCAGUGGGGAAUAUUGGACAAAGGGCGCAAGCCUGAUCCAGCCAUACCGCGUGGGUGAAGAAGGCCUUCGGGUUGUAAAGCCCUUUUGUUGGGAAAGAAAAGCAGCAGGUUAAUACCCCGCUGUUCUGACGGUACCCAAAGAAUAAGCACCGGCUAACUUCGUG